AGAGUUUGAUCAUGGCUCAGGAUGAACGCUAGCGGCAGGCCUAACACAUGCAAGUCGAGGGGCAGCACGGUGUAGCAAUACACUGGUGGCGACCGGCGCACGGGUGCGUAACGCGUAUGCAACCUACCCAUAACAGGGGGAUAACACUGAGAAAUUGGUACUAAUACCCCAUAACAUCAGGACCGGCAUCGGUUCUGGUUGAAAACCCGUCGG
This 213-nucleotide ribosomal RNA is filed under the name uncultured bacterium. RNAcentral describes it as "partial 16S ribosomal RNA". It matches the Rfam family "Bacterial small subunit ribosomal RNA", at positions 8 to 215 of the family's 1533-position model. The record is from RNAcentral.